UGUAUAGGAUGCGUAGGCGGUAAAAUUAAUUAUAUAUAACAAUAUCAGUUAUAUGGGUGUUUAUAUAACAAAAUUUUACUUGAAUUUUUUGGAAGCAGGUGAAAUCUAGUAAAUGAGUGAUUGAAUAUGUUGACUUUAUGGGGAUCUUCAUCGGCGAAAGCGGCCUGCUAUAAAAAAUUGACGCUGAGGCAUGUAGGUAUAGUGUUCGAAUAGGAUUAGCAGCCCUAUUAGUCUAUACUGUAAAAGAUGGGUACUAGGUCUGAACCCUUUAUAGGUUUUUGGAUCUAAACUAACGUGCAAGUACCCCACCUGGGUAGUAUAGUCGCAAGAUCGAAACUUAACAAAAUUGGCGGGAAUUUGUUCAAACGGUGGAACAUGUGGUUUAAUGCGAUGAUCCGCGAAAAAUCUUACCAAUGCAUUUUCUAAAUUACUUAAAGCAAUUUUUAAUUAAAUAAUUGCUUGUUUUUUAGAAAUUAGGUGCUGCAUGGCUGUCGUCAGCUCGUGUUGUGAGGCGUAAAAUUAACUUUUUUUACGGGCGC
Molecule: ribosomal RNA, 539 nt
Filed under: uncultured bacterium
Lineage: Bacteria
Description: partial 16S ribosomal RNA
Rfam family: Bacterial small subunit ribosomal RNA
Source: RNAcentral